RNAcentral lists this long non-coding RNA (1161 nucleotides) under Callithrix jacchus (white-tufted-ear marmoset). RNAcentral's name for it is "lncRNA (ENSCJAG00000084483.1)". The record is from RNAcentral. Lineage: Eukaryota; Metazoa; Chordata; Mammalia; Primates; Cebidae.
CCUCCCCUUCUCUCCCCUCCCUUCCCCAUCACUGUUCUUUUCUUUGACUUUUUGUUUCUUUCCUUCCUUUCUUCUUUCUCUUUCUCCCCCUACUCCAUCUUCUUUCUUUCCUUUUUUUCCCUUUCCUCUUCUUUUUACUUCUUUAUUUACCUUUUAGAGACAGGGUCUCACUCUGUUUCCCAGUCUGGAGUAUAGUGACAUGAUCAUAGCUCACUGCAGCCUUGAACUCCUGGCUCAAGCAAUCCUCCUGCCUCGGCCUCCUGAGUAGCCAGGAAUACAGAUGUGCACUACCACCCCUGGCUCAUUUUUUUAUUCUUUGUAAAGACGGGGUCUCACUAUGUUGCCUAUACUAGUCUCAAACUCCUGGCCUCAAGGGAUCGCCCUGUCUUGGCCUCCCAAAGCGCUGGGAUUACACGUGUGAGCCACUGCACCAGGCCUUGUCUCUUUAUACAUUUGAGCACAGUUGCAGAUAUCUUGACAUUUUAUCUAAAUAUUUCCAGAUGUCUCUUCUAAGAUAGCAAUCAUUUUCUCACACAAGAACAAAACCAUGACCAUCCUCAAUGAAUUUAAUGUAGAUACAAGACUGGUCUCUCUACAGGGCCCAUGUCCAAAUGUUGCAAGUUGUCCUUGUCAUGUUCAUGUCCCUUUUUAUCCAGGACCCAGCCAAGGCCGCCUCCCUCCAUCGUGCCUCUGCCCAAGCUCCUCUCACGUGGCGCCGCCUCGGGGCCUGUCUUGUCUUUCAAACAUUCAGCCAUUUGUUUGGCAGAAGGUGCCUCCGUUUGGAUUUGACUGAUUGCUCUUCAGGAAAAGAUUCAGUUUUGUAUUAGUCUGUUUUCUGUUGCUGUCUCUGAAUAUCUGAAACUGGGUGAUUUGUAAAGAAAUGAAAUUUAUUUCUUACAGUUCUGGAGCUGGGAAGUGCAAGACUGAGGAGCUGCAUCUGAUGAAGGCCUUCCUGCUGGUGGGGCCUCUCUGCAGAGUCCUGAGGUGCUGCAGGGGAUCUCGUGCAGAGAUGUGGCUUCUACUCACCUCCAAUACAGCUGCUGGACCUCCAGCCAUUGGAGGAGAUACAGGUUGGAAGAAGGAGGUAAGGCAAAAUGGGUAUUUUUCUCAAUCAAGACAGGUCUCUCUAAAGCAGGUGUCCUGGAAACCCCACACAACAUU